This 137-nucleotide ribosomal RNA is filed under the name uncultured bacterium. RNAcentral describes it as "partial 16S ribosomal RNA". It matches the Rfam family "Bacterial small subunit ribosomal RNA", at positions 355 to 509 of the family's 1533-position model. The record is from RNAcentral.
UGAGGAAUAUUGGGCAAUGGGCGAAAGCCUGACCCAGCAACGCCGCGUGAAGGAAGACGGUUUUCGGAUUGUAAACUUCUUUUGAGAGGGACGAUAAUGACGGUACCUCUUGAAUAAGCCACGGCUAACUACGUGCC